This 2347-nucleotide long non-coding RNA is filed under the name Oryza sativa (Asian cultivated rice). Its description in RNAcentral is "long non-coding RNA (OSAT_LNC001911)". Lineage: Eukaryota; Viridiplantae; Streptophyta; Magnoliopsida; Poales; Poaceae. The record is from RNAcentral.
AAAAAUUGCUCUGGUUUUCUGGUGGUUGUAGAGAGAAGAUAUAUGGAGACCACAAAUUGUCCCUCGUUACUGGUCCCUGAAUAGGGACAUGCUUGCUUUGACUCCAAUGGAACGCAAUCAAUUGUUCCAAUCGGCUGGCCGGCAGGUUAAUUUUUAGUUUAACUCAAGCAUGUUUCUUGUUUCCAAUUAAAACACCUAUCUGGUACUCUGGAUCGAGUGGAUUAUUACUAGCUUAGUGAAUCUGUUGGAUUAAUCUUGUCGAGCAAACGUGCAUAUUAGCCUUGAUUAAUUGUGCCAAUAUUAACUUUAAUCAAGCUAUAGAGCAAUGGUAGAUCUUCUCGUAAUAUCUGUCCAAGCCAACCAUCUAAGGGGGAAAAAAGAUAAAAGGGGAAAUUCAAUCCAGCUAUGGCUUUAUCUUUUUGCUAUUCUUCUUGUAUGGAACUUGUAAUAAAUUAUAGUAACAAUAUCUUUUGCUUCUUUGAAUGUAGUAACUGGGAUGUUUUACUCCAUCGAAAACACGGCGUGACCGUGCGAGUCAAGAAGGAAUACAGCCCUUCUGUUCAUUUUGACAGCAGCUCGGAUGGAUGUACUCCAGUACUGUGUCGUUUUUAGUUCGCUGUUGUGUUCUGAGCAGCCAGUUGGCAACGACGUACACAGUCAAGCCAUUCUGCUGCUGCUUCGUUCUGUCCACCUAAGGUUCGGCAUGUUCGUUUCCCCUUUAGCUUCUGAAAUCUGAAUUCUAGCUUGACAAUUCAACUGAAACGUCAAUAUCAAUGGUACAGUCGUGAUGUUUAGAAAAGAAAAUUGCUCACCAUGUUGUAGUUGUGAUUUGUGUGUUAGAAUCGAUCUCCUAUCAACGAUAGAAUUAAAUUUUCUCAGGAGUUAUAAACAUUAUGUAAUACAUGAUCUUAUGUCCAGGGGCUCAGAGCGGUAGAGGAGCUGUCAAUAAAAUUGGACAAGGUUAAGGGUAGAGAUAAUUCACGGUUGCAACCAAACCAGUCCAAGGGUCAUAUAUCUACAGUUUUGGGCUAGAUAUUUCCUGCAUACCCCCAGAUUGAAAGCAGCCCCUAGCUCUCAAAAGAAAAAGGGAAUUGGCCCAAGGAAUUCAGACACUACUAUAGUACUAACAUAGACAUGGUGGCGCUGCCUUGCGUAAGCCACAUGCCCGAAAUCCUCAAUCCUCAAUCCAAUUUGACAAUUCAUAUUUUCCCCCUACGAUAGUAUGAUCAAUGCCCAACCGGGGUCCAUUGAAUUGCCAUCAGAAUCUAAAUAUUACCUAUAUAUUAAUUGUUAGGUUUAGUUGAUGGGUCCAGUGGAUGAGCCAAAUAUUGAACUUUCUCCUAAUGCUCUUGCAGUAAUAUGUCAGGCGAUGAAAUCAUUACGGUAUUUAUGAUCUCACCAUGUUUUAUAUCUAAUGUUUUGCCAUCAACUUGACAGGUAAAACCAUAAUGGAGCUGAUUUGAAAAGAAAACUACUGACGACGAGGCGACAAGGAUGGAUAGAUGGAUCAACUUUAAAAAUAAAUGAGAUGUGCGUGAAACAUCUCGUUCUUUUGGUGAUGUCCUGAAACGAGGUAACAUUUGGAUGCCUUUUUGUUAAGUUCUUAUACACCUAUAACUAUGAAUAUACUUUAAUUUUUGGAAGACAAAAACAUCAACUUCUAGUACCUCACAAAUUCUGCUUGGGGUAUAUUUUCUGCACUGGACAAAGAAAAAGUUUAUUUUUACCGUGAAGUUCUCAAACUGUACGAGUAAUGCCCUUUUUUCCGUGGUUGUUUCCACUGGCAUAGCAAUGUUUUCACUUUUCACUGAUAUUUCUAGCAGGUCCCACAUAGAUAUUUUCCAUCUCCCUACUAGCUACAGGCUUAACUGGUGUCUAGUCUCAUAAGCAUGUGCAGUAGUACACUUACAAUGUGCUUACUGAAGCUUCUCUUUGUGCCUACAAGGUUGGCGCAGGUGCACGUACACACCACACAUGUGAUUCAGUGUGACUUCUUGAAAAACGGAUUCAACAAAGAGUGCUAGGUACAAAUCCGUCAUCAUCACAAAAUUCAUACUGAAGCUAGAUAGCCUAACAAUGUUCAUAUUUCAUAUGGCUAGACGAAAUUAAAAAACUGAACCAAUAUUCUAAAUGAUAUGCUACAAGUCUACGACACACUCAACCUCUACUACUGUAGCAGCGGAAUAAUGGAGUACACAUAUAUCGUCAUCAGUGCAUAUAUUCAUUAAUAUUUCUGGGUGUCCAAAUAAAGGUACGAAUAAUACUAGAAACAUAUGGACGGGAUGUAUGUAAUACGAUACUCACUUUUGCUUACUGCCUACUCCAUUAUAUUUGUUGGCUGAAGGAG